GUGAGCGGGGACGGGGACGGUUCCGCGAUGGCGGCGCACCUGAGCUCGGGGCGCGUGAACCUGACGGCGCUGCGCGAGGCGGGGCGGCGCGAGCUGCGCGAGUUCCUCGACAAAUGCGCGGGGAGCAAGGCCAUCGUGUGGGACGAGUCCCUGACGGGGCCCUUCGGGCUGAUCGCGCAGUACUCGCUGCUCAAGGAGCAUGAGGUGGAGAAGAUGUUCACGCUCAAGCCCGGCCGCCUGCCCCAGGCCGAUGUCAAGAACAUCAUCUUCUUCGUGAGGCCCAAGCUGGAGCUGAUGGACAUCAUCACGGACAACGUGCUCAGGGAGGACAGAGGCCGCUCUCCCCAGAGGGACUUCCACAUCCUGUUCGUGCCGCGCCGCAGCCUGCUGUGCGAGCAGUGGCUGAAGGAGCAGGGGGUGCUGGGGUCCUUCAUCCACCGCGAGCAGUACAGCCUGGACCUCAUACCCUUCGAUGGAGACCUGCUCUCCAUGGAGGCUGAGAGCGCCUUCAAGGAAUGUUACCUGGAGAGCGACCAGACGAGUCUGUACCACGCGGCCAAGGGGCUGAUGACGCUGCAGGCUCUGUACGGAACCAUCCCACAGAUCUUCGGGAAGGGCGAGUGUGCUCGGCACGUGGCUAACAUGAUGAUCAGGAUGAAGCGCGAGUUCCCUGGGAGCCAGAACUCGAUAUUUCCCGUCUUUGACACCCUCUUGUUGCUGGACCGCAAUGUUGACCUGCUGACGCCGCUGGCCACGCAGCUCACCUACGAGGGGCUGAUAGAUGAAAUCUAUGGGAUCCAGAACACUUAUGUGAAACUCCCUCCCGAGAAGUUUGCCCCGAAGAAGCAGGGUGAGGGUGGGAAAGAUCUCCCCACAGAACCCAAGAAGCUCCAGCUGAACUCUGCUGAAGAGCUCUAUGCUGAAAUCCGGGACAAGAACUUCAAUGCUGUCGGGUCAGUGCUGAGCAAGAAAGCCAAGAUCAUCUCUGCAGCCUUUGAGGAACGCCACCACGCAAAGACCGUUGGAGAGAUUAAACAGUUUGUCUCACAGCUGCCACACAUGCAGGCGGCAAGAAGCUCUCUAGCAAACCACACCUCCAUUGCAGAACUCAUCAAAGACAUCACCACAUCUGAAGAUUUCUUUGAUAAUUUAACGGUGGAACAAGAGUUCAUGUCUGGAAUAGACACAGACAAGGUUAACAAUUACAUUGAAGACUGCAUAGCUCAAAAACAUCCAUUAAUCAAGAUCUUGCGCCUCGUUUGCUUGCAAUCUGUGUGCAAUAGUGGACUGAAGCAGAAGGUUCUGGACCAUUACAAAAGAGAGAUUCUCCAGGUUGGGCUGAACUUUUGGAUCCACACAUUUCUGAGACAAUCCCACCAAAUCCUCAGCUCUGCAGCACUUCCCUUCUAGACAGACCCAUCAACACAUGGCCAGCGUGUGCAGAGGGAGCACUGAGGCUUCUGGGUGGGCUGACAGCAAUGGCUCAGGAGACUUACGGCUAUGAACAUAUAUUGACCUUAAACAACUUGGAGAAGGCUGGACUCCUGAAACCUCAGACAGGCGGCAGGAAUAACUACCCAACGAUCAGGAAAACCCUGCGCUUAUGGAUGGAUGAUGUUAACGAACAGAACCCCAAUGACAUUUCCUACGUGUACAGUGGCUACGCGCCGCUGAGCGUCCGCCUGGCCCAGCUACUGGCUCGCCCAGGGUGGAGGAGCAUAGAGGAGGUUCUGAAGAUGCUGCCGGGUCCCCAUUUUGAGGAGAGGCAGCAGCUACCCACUGGCCUUCAGAAAAAGCGUCAACACGGUGAGAACCGAGUCACGCUGGUGUUCUUCCUGGGAGGAGUAACGUACGCAGAAAUUGCUGCACUGAGAUUUCUGUCCCAGAUGGAAGAUGGAGGCACAGAGUAUGUCAUUGCCACUACAAAACUGAUCAAUGGGACAAGCUGGAUCAAAUCCUUGAUGGAAAAACUAGAACCUGCCCCAUUCUAAGGUCUGUGGUGAGAGACAGUGAAGGUGAGAGGCCCCACGAACACAGGCACAUCAGCUUCUGGUCUUUUGGCAUGGCUUGAACAUCGGGGAGACAAGACAGUGCAAGAAGGUCUCCUGAGACCAGCUCAUGAUGGAGUUUACCCUCAUCCCUCUCUGCACUUGUGUACCUACUGUUUGUGGAACUUCCUAGUAGACAAAGUAGCUCCUUUAGAGCUACUUUAGCUCCUUAGAGCUGAAAGACACUAACAAUGAAAUAAACAGUGGGAGAAAGAGAGAUCCCUGCUCGUGGUCUGGAUUGGCAAACAAGUGAUGGGGUAGCAGGGGUUGGGCCUGGUCCUUCCAUUUGGCAAAUUGCUGGGGUUUUUUUUCCCUUUACUUUCAGUGGAAAUGUGAUUACUUCUUUUUACCCUCCUAAGGUGCUGAGGAGGCAGGAUGUUUUCUGUUCCUGCUUUCAUACCAAUAUUCCCAGCUGACUGCACAAUGGAAAGAGAACUCCUAUAGAGGGGAAGCAGUAACUUUUUUACUGCAUACAUUUAGAAACUUCCUGGCUCUCAGGCAUCGAGAAUAAUGCAGCUGCAGGACAUGCUUGGCCUGUGGCAGCUCUUACAGGCUGGCUGUUAUGGUUAGGUGCCUGUAGGCCACACUGAAGUCCACUGUCCUGAAUGCUUUGGCCAAGACAUUCACUGGGUUUCCUGCAGCAACAGCUAAACCUGGAACUAUCCACAUGCACGUCAACAGCACUGACUAUGAAAACAAGCAACUGCACCCAAAUUAUGAGAUGCUUGAGUCUUCUACUGCAGUCGCCCUCUGAAGGUUUGUUUGUCCUGGGUACACCCACCUGACUCAGGAAAGCUACUCCAGGGUAUGAAUUACAUCAGUAUGUCAAGAGCUUAUGUCUGAAGACACACAAACACUCCUUGCAUGGGACUCAGGCCAAAAAUAGCUAUGUCAGUGACCCAGUAAACAGCGGGUUUCAGACAGACACUUUUUUCUCUCCCCCUGUUCAGUUUAUAAACUGUGGUACUUGCUGCUGCAACUGGUGUAGAGCUCAACAUUAUAAAAUGGAAUUUUCCAUGGUCUUGGUGGCAGGGCCCUUGGUGGUGCUGAGCCAACGGGUGCCAAGAGGCAGCUUCAGCUCUCGGAGACUUGGCCUUGCUGAUGGCCAGGGGCUGGGAAGGCAGAGCAGGGUCCUUGCUUACCGUGUGCAGCUGCCACUGCCAGAGCCUGCUGCUGUGCCUCAGCCCUCUCUCCCCACGGUCACCAUCACUCUACUCACAUGCUUCUACAGCAACCACUGGGGACUGAUUCAUGCUACGUUUUACUCUUAAAUAGUUAAAAACAACUGAAAAAAAACCCAUCCCACACCUGAAAUCACUCUCAGCAAACACAGCUGCUCUCAGUUAUCCUGCAUAAUGCACAUUACAUCCCAAAACCCCCUGCAUUUUGCCAAGGUGUUAAACUUACGACUGUGGGUUUCAGUCUUGUUUUGUAAGACUGAGUUCUGCCAAAUCAGCCCAGUCACAGAGCCCCCCUGUCUGUCUAACUCCACUUGGCUCAUUAUAACAAAAUAAAAAGUGUGUUUGAUCUUUU
RNA transcript from Strigops habroptila (Kakapo), 3581 nucleotides. It is a transcript of the gene named VPS33A core subunit of CORVET and HOPS complexes, with no coding region annotated. The record is from RefSeq and is a predicted model, not a curated record. The transcript is spliced from 13 exons. NCBI's taxonomy places the organism in Eukaryota, Metazoa, Chordata, Aves, Psittaciformes, Psittacidae.